Small nuclear RNA from Ochotona princeps (American pika), 107 nucleotides. The record is from RefSeq and is a predicted model, not a curated record. Lineage: Eukaryota; Metazoa; Chordata; Mammalia; Lagomorpha; Ochotonidae.
GUGCUCACUUCAGCAGCACAUAUACUAAAAAUGGAAUGAUACAGGGAAGAUUAGCAUGGUCCCUAUACAAGGAUGACACACUAAUUCAUUAAUCAUUCCAUAUUAAA